GUGGGGAAUCUUGCGCAAUGGGCGAAAGCCUGACGCAGCCAUGCCGCGUGAAUGAUGAAGGUCUUAGGAUUGUAAAAUUCUUUCACCGGGGACGAUAAUGACGGUACCCGGAGAAGAAGCCCCGGCUAACUUCGUGCCAGCAGCCGCGGUAAUACGAAGGGGGCUAGCGUUGCUCGGAAUUACUGGGCGUAAAGGGCGCGUAGGCGGAUCGUUAGGUCAGGGGUGAAAUCCCAGAGCUCAACUCUGGAACUGCCCUUGAUACUGGCGAUCUUGAGUGUGAGAGAGGUAUGUGGAACUCCGAGUGUAGAGGUGAAAUUCGUAGAUAUUCGGAAGAACACCAGUGGCGAAGGCGACAUACUGGCUCAUUACUGACGCUGAGGCGCGAAAGCGUGGGGAGCAAACAGGAUUAGAAACCCCGGUAGUCC
RNAcentral lists this ribosomal RNA (425 nucleotides) under uncultured bacterium. RNAcentral describes it as "partial 16S ribosomal RNA". It matches the Rfam family "Bacterial small subunit ribosomal RNA", at positions 354 to 796 of the family's 1533-position model. The record is from RNAcentral.